RNAcentral lists this non-coding RNA (947 nucleotides) under Hydrophis curtus (Shaw's sea snake). Lineage: Eukaryota; Metazoa; Chordata; Lepidosauria; Squamata; Elapidae. The record is from RNAcentral.
AACUUUUAUAACACAAGGUCUUGGUCUUAAACCUCUUAUUAUCUAAACUCCCUACUUAUACAUGCAAGCCUCAACAUAACAGUGAAAUAGCCCACUACAGCCACCUAAAGGAGCCGGUAUCAGGCAAAUGCCCACAACACCAAGCAACCUAAGCCACACCCUCACGGGCAAGCAGCAGUAGUUAAUAUUAGGCCAUAAGCGCAAGCUUGACCUAAUAACAGAGUAAUUACUAGGGCCGGCCAAUCUCGUGCCAGCGACCGCGGUUAUACGACAGACCCAAGAUAACACCACCGGCGUAAAGCACGACUAAAACCCAUGAGUUCAACCAUUAAGGUUUAAACUAGGCUGAGCUGUAAAAAGCCACAAGCUACACUAACCAUCAGACCUUAAUACCUAAACAACUUUAACUCGUGAAAGUCAGGACACAAACUAAGAUUAGAUACCUUACUAUGCCUGACCUUAACAAGACAAUUAAAUUACUAAUUGUUCGCCAAAUUACUAUGAGUGAAAACUUAAAAUUUAAAAGACUUGACGGUACUUCAUAACAACCUAGAGGAGCCUGUCUAAUAACCGAUAACCCACGAUUAACCCUACCCCCUCUGGCCCAACAGUCUAUAUACCGCCGUCGCCAGCUUACCUUGUGAAAGAAACAAAGUAAGCCAAAGAAUACCCCAUUAACACGACAGGUCGAGGUGUAACUAAUGAGGAGGAACAAGAUGGGCUACAUUUUCUUAACCAGAAAAAACGAACAGACUAUGAAACUAGAAACUGAAGGAGGAUUUAGCAGUAAGAUAGGAACAUACUACCUAACUGAAACCAACGCAAUGAAGUGCGUACACACCGCCCGUCAUCCCUGCAAAACAUACAACUACACAUAUAUAAAUAAAUGUACUUAAACCAAACAGGGCAAGUCGUAACAUGGUAAGCGUACUGGAAAGUGUGCUUAG